GAUGAACGCUGACAGAAUGCUUAACACAUGCAAGUCAACUUGAACUUCGGUUUGGGUGGCGGACGGGUGAGUAACGCGUAAAGAACUUGCCUCACAGAUAGGGACAACAUUUGGAAACGAAUGCUAAUACCUGAUAUUAUGAUUAUAUGGCAUCGUAUAAUUAUGAAAGCUAUAUGCGCUGUGAGAGAGCUUUGCGUCCCAUUAGCUAGUUGGAGAGGUAACGGCUCACCAAGGCGAUGAUGGGUAGCCGGCCUGAGAGGGUGAUCGGCCACAAGGGGACUGAGACACGGCCCUAACUCUUACGGGAGGAAGCAGUGGGGAGUAUUGGACAAGGGACCAAGAGUCUGAUCCAGAAAUUCUGUGUGGACGAUGAAGUUUUUCGGAAUGUAAAGUGCUUUCAGUUGGGAAGAAAAAAAUGACGGUACCAACAGAAGAAGUGACGGCUAAAUACGUG
RNAcentral lists this ribosomal RNA (454 nucleotides) under uncultured bacterium. RNAcentral describes it as "partial 16S ribosomal RNA". It matches the Rfam family "Bacterial small subunit ribosomal RNA", at positions 28 to 507 of the family's 1533-position model. The record is from RNAcentral.